ACCAGGGUUGCAUCCCAAUGCCCCUUCUCCACAAACACCCCCACCCCAACUCGUUUCAUCUCCCGACUUCUCCUAUCCGAAGCGGAAUCAUAACCCUGUUUCAGCGAGUGUGCAUAACGGUGCCGGUCUAAUCGCCAAAAGGCAGCCUUUCUGGAGAUGAAAAGAAGAAGAAAACAAACCUGAAUCUGGGCGGAGUAGAAAAUGUACAGCAACUAUGCAGAGCAAUUGACAAACGGCUAAAGAGCAAGCAGCCCUCCCCCCCCCCGCUUUUCACCUCCCUUUCCCCCUGAUUGACUCGAGACCUCCUGGGACCCCGAGAGGAAAGGACCCCGAGGUCACCACCUCUGGAUUCUUCAAAGGCCCGGCCGCUUGGAGCAGCUGUCACAUCUCUCAUUGCCCACUGCCACAGAAGGGCCCUCAUCCAGAUGAUUGUGUGAACGAACAACCCUGCUGACCUGGAAAAAGAAUUCAGAAGAGGAGGAGGAGGAGAAGAAGACUUUUCAAUUUCCUUGACCAUGAUAUGGUCUUGGAAGCUCGGCAGAAAAAUUUAACUUAAAAAAACACACACGGAAGCAAAGGAGCAACAUGUCUUUAUUACAUAUUAUAUCACAGUCUCUCAAGCACAGUCUUGCAACAACUUCCUCCCUCACAUACGGAAACAUUUUUUUCCUUGCUCUACUGUAAAUUUUCCUUGUUCUGUUGUAAAAUCUACUGCAAUACUGUCAGAGAGCCUUUUGAAAACAGCACUCAAUGAAGAGCAUGUCUUUGCCACCCAGAGACGUACGUUUGGGUGGGGUAUAAAUUUGAUAAAUAAAUAAAAUAAAAUAAAUAUUUUAAAAAA
This is a long non-coding RNA of Hemicordylus capensis (graceful crag lizard), 841 nucleotides long. RefSeq lists it as uncharacterized. The record is from RefSeq and is a predicted model, not a curated record. The transcript is spliced from 3 exons. Lineage: Eukaryota; Metazoa; Chordata; Lepidosauria; Squamata; Cordylidae.